RNAcentral lists this ribosomal RNA (753 nucleotides) under Bacillus aerius. RNAcentral's name for it is "partial 16S ribosomal RNA". It matches the Rfam family "Bacterial small subunit ribosomal RNA", at positions 294 to 1038 of the family's 1533-position model. Lineage: Bacteria; Bacillati; Bacillota; Bacilli; Caryophanales; Bacillaceae. The record is from RNAcentral.
GAGAGGGUGAUNGGCCACACUGGGAUUGAGACACGGCCCAGAUUCUUACGGGAGGCAGCAGUAGGGAAUCUUCCGCAAUGGACGAAAGUCUGACGGAGNAACGCCGGCUGAGUGAUGAAGGUNUUNGGAUNGUAAAGCUCUGUUGUUAGGGAAGAACAAGUGCNAGAGUAACUGCNUGCACCUNGACGGUACCUAACCAGAAAGCCANGGCNAANUACGUGCCNGCAGCCGCGGUAAUANGUAGGUCGCAAGCGUUGUCGGGAAUUAUUGGGCGUAAAGGGCUCGCGGGCGGUUUCUUAAGUCUGAUGUGAAAGCCCCCGGCUCAACCGGGGAGGGUCAUUGGAAACUGGGAAACAUGAGUGCAGAAGAGGAGAGUGGANUUCCACGUGUAGCGGUGAANUGCGUAGAGAUGUGGAGGAACACCAGUGGCGAAGGCGACUCUNUGGUCUGUAACUGACGNUGAGGAGCGAAAGCGUGGGGAGCGAACAGGAUUAGAUACCNUGGUNGUCCACGCCGUAAANGAUGAGUGNUAAGUGUUAGGGGGUUUCCGCCCNUUAGUGNUGCAGCUAACGCAUUAAGCACUCCGCCUGGGGAGUACGGUCGCAAGANUGAAACUCAAAGGAAUUGACGGGGGCCCGCACNAGCGGUGGAGCAUGUGGUUUAAUUCGAAGCAACGCGAAGAACCUUACCAGGUCNUGACAUCCUCUGACAACCCUAGAGAUAGGGCUUUCCCUUCGGGGACAGAGUGACAGG